Long non-coding RNA from Capsella rubella, 318 nucleotides. RefSeq lists it as uncharacterized. The transcript is spliced from 3 exons. NCBI's taxonomy places the organism in Eukaryota, Viridiplantae, Streptophyta, Magnoliopsida, Brassicales, Brassicaceae. The record is from RefSeq and is a predicted model, not a curated record.
UGAAAAUGAAAGGACAGAGAUAAAUCUCACAAGACAUAACAAGUCAGGAUCUGAGAACUAUGCCAUUACGAUUCUUCUCAGAACUCCCUCGUUUUGUUGACAUAAUCAAUGACACUGUUGUUGAAUCAGAAGAAGAUGAACAAGGAGGUGAGAAUCUGGAAUGCUUGCUGUAUCGAUCAAGAAAUCUUCAAGUGUUGCAAGAGAUUGUAGCUGUUUCCCUAGCGAUGCUAUUGUUUUCUGACAGUCUGCAAAUUUUCCUACAGCUGUUCUUAUGUCUUCCUGCAAUAGAAUCAUGCAAUAGAAUCAACUUCAGUGAAA